RNAcentral lists this unclassified non-coding RNA (427 nucleotides) under Hevea brasiliensis (rubber tree). Lineage: Eukaryota; Viridiplantae; Streptophyta; Magnoliopsida; Malpighiales; Euphorbiaceae. The record is from RNAcentral.
GAGAUGAACUCAAAAUUUAUAAAGUAUAUCCUCUUGGCUUGACACAGAGACAGGCAUUAUACUCCUUCAGAUUCAACGGGGAUACUGAGUUCAAGAAUUACAUCGAAAGUCACCCAUGUGCAAAAUUUGAAGCCAUUUUCGUAUAGUUGAAGUUUAGAAUUUUGCUUGUAUCAGAAUUGCAAGCCAUGGUGUAACUCUCUGUUCUUUGCGUGCGCCGUGUAUUGGUUCUGGAUCUUGCCAUAUGGAUGCAACCAGGGAGAGUCAGGAAGUGAUUGUUACAAAGGGUGAAUCUGAUAUUUGGUGUAAACUUCUCAUCCUUCACAUUUUCAAGCACGAGGAAGGUUAGGAAGGAUCAAAAUUUUCCCUUUUUAUGGGUAUGUCCAUAAAAUAACUUGUGAUUUUUAGUGCGGUGAGGAAUUCGCUAAGC